CAUUUGAUGGCCGAUUAAAGGUGUGAGUCUUUUAAACUUAUUAUAGAUUAUCUUCAAAUGA
Molecule: transfer RNA, 61 nt
Filed under: Pseudoniphargus portosancti
Lineage: Eukaryota; Metazoa; Arthropoda; Malacostraca; Amphipoda; Allocrangonyctidae
Description: tRNA-Lys
Source: RNAcentral